CGUUUCAUUUUUUAUUCUUCUUCUUUUUUUUUCUCUCUCUCUCUCACUCCUUCGUUUUCUUUCCAUUCUUCCAUCAUAAAUAAUAACAGUUAUUUCUUCUUUUUGUUCUUCCAACUCCUCCCUCAUUACUCUACAACUGUUUCAUUUUUCAUCUUCCUCAUCCCUCUUUCUGAUGCAUCUCUCUCUUUUUUUUCUUCCAACUUAUUCUUUGAAAAAUCACUCUCAUUCAAGAAAUGGUUUCACGAAUCAAUCAGUAUGGGGAAGUUAGUGGACGGUUUCAGUGAUUUUAUGAAUCAAGAAAUUAAGAAAGGAUUUCACGAAUCAAUCAGAAAGAGAAGUUGA
Non-coding RNA from Vicia faba (fava bean), 342 nucleotides. NCBI's taxonomy places the organism in Eukaryota, Viridiplantae, Streptophyta, Magnoliopsida, Fabales, Fabaceae. The record is from the annotation of a GenBank genome assembly.